This 380-nucleotide long non-coding RNA is filed under the name Neogale vison (American mink). RNAcentral's name for it is "Neovison vison (American mink) lncRNA (ENSNVIG00000012454.1)". The record is from RNAcentral. Lineage: Eukaryota; Metazoa; Chordata; Mammalia; Carnivora; Mustelidae.
CUUGCAUCUGGGGAGUAUGUUUCCUGGCGGAGCGAUAUUUGUUUACAGGCUGAGGGCAGUACUGUAAGUGAGUAGCGCUUCGAGAAGGCGGCUCUGACAUAAAUUAAUAUUGAAAUUACUCCAUCAGCUCUGCUCGCCCCCCAUCUCACCCCCCAAGCGGAGUCUGGUCUUGUCGGAUUGCCCAUGCACUUGUUGCAGAAACAGCCAAGAACCAGGUCUCCUCUUCCCACCUGCCCAGCAGCAUGAGAGCAGCAUGACUGCCCGGCCGCAGGAGAAGCCCCCAGAGCCAGGCCCCCAACUCAACCAUCAGCUGCAGAGGUCAAGGUAAGCUUGCUUGCCUUUCUCCUGGAAGGUUCAGGCAUUUUUAUUUUAACUAAUUC